AGACAAGUUACUUUUGUGAGGGAAAAAUCGAUCCUUAGUUAAAUUCAUGUUCUUAGUAUUGACUCAAGUCAUUUCGCUAAUUUAAAGAUAAAUAAAUAACUUCAUCAUAGCACUAGCAAGCAAUACAAUCCAAUUCUAUGAUUCCAUUUCACAACCACUACUGUAAUUUAAAGAAUAGGCCCCCUUUCCUUCAUCAACUUUCAAA
RNAcentral lists this unclassified non-coding RNA (205 nucleotides) under Hevea brasiliensis (rubber tree). The record is from RNAcentral. Lineage: Eukaryota; Viridiplantae; Streptophyta; Magnoliopsida; Malpighiales; Euphorbiaceae.